GUGCUCACUUGGGCAGCACAUAUACUAAAAUUGGAAUGAUACAGAGAAGAUUAGCAUGGCCCCUGCACAAGGAUGAUGUGCAAAUUUGUGAAGCGUUCCACAUUUUU
This is a small nuclear RNA of Dipodomys spectabilis (banner-tailed kangaroo rat), 107 nucleotides long. NCBI's taxonomy places the organism in Eukaryota, Metazoa, Chordata, Mammalia, Rodentia, Heteromyidae. The record is from RefSeq and is a predicted model, not a curated record.